Molecule: ribosomal RNA, 741 nt
Filed under: uncultured delta proteobacterium
Lineage: Bacteria; Deltaproteobacteria
Description: bacterial SSU rRNA
Rfam family: Bacterial small subunit ribosomal RNA
Source: RNAcentral
AGAGUUUGAUCCUGGCUCAGAAUGAACGCUGGCGGCGUGCUUAACACAUGCAAGUCGUACGAGAACGCUUCAGCUUGCUGAAGCUAGUAAAGUGGCGUACGGGUGAGUAACGCGUGGGUAAUCUACCUUCGAAUUGGGGAUAACGUUGCGAAAGUGACGCUAAUACCGGAUAAUAUCAUAGAGACCUUGGUUUUUAUGAUCAAAGAUGGCCUCUCCUUGGAAGCUAUUGUUUGGAGAUGAGCCCGCGUCCCAUUAGCUUGUUGGUGGGGUAAUGGCCUACCAAGGCAACGAUGGGUAGCUGGUCUGAGAGGAUGAUCAGCCACACUGGAACUGACACACGGUCCAGACUCCUACGGGAGGCAGCAGUGAGGAAUUUUGCGCAAUGGGGGAAACCCUGACGCAGCAACGCCGCGUGAGUGAUGAAGGCUUUCGGGUCGUAAAGCUCUGUCAAGUGGGAAGAACUCCCGUGAGGUUAAUACCCUCAUGGUUUGACGGUACCACUGAAGGAAGCACCGGCUAACUCCGUGCCAGCAGCCGCGGUAAUACGGGGGGUGCAAGCGUUAUUCGGAUUUACUGGGCGUAAAGCGCGCGUAGGCGGCCGUUUAAGUCAGAUGUGAAAGCCCGGGGCUCAACCCCGGAAGUGCAUUUGAUACUAUUCGGCUUGAGUAUGGGAGAGGGAAGUGGAAUUCCUGGUGUAGAGGUGAAAUUCGUAGAUAUCAGGAGGAACACCGGUGGCGAAGG